This 328-nucleotide ribosomal RNA is filed under the name uncultured Bacteroidota bacterium. RNAcentral describes it as "bacterial SSU rRNA". It matches the Rfam family "Bacterial small subunit ribosomal RNA", at positions 28 to 351 of the family's 1533-position model. The record is from RNAcentral. Lineage: Bacteria; Pseudomonadati; Bacteroidota.
GAUGAACGCUAGCGGCAGGCCUAACACAUGCAAGUCGAGGGGCAGCGCGAUGUAGCAAUACAUUGGCGGCGACCGGCGCACGGGUGCGUAACACGUAUGGAACUUGCCCUUUACUGGGAGAUAGCCCGGAGAAAUCCGGAUUAAUAUCCCAUAAUAGUCGAGGUGGCAUCACCUUGAUUUGAAAGCUCCGGCGGUAAAGGAUAGCCAUGCGUCCGAUUAGCUAGUAGGUGAGGUAACAGCUCACCUAGGCUACGAUCGGUAGGGGGGCCUGAGAGGGUUAUCCCCCACACUGGUACUGAGACACGGACCAGACUCCUACGGGAGGCAG